Molecule: ribosomal RNA, 382 nt
Filed under: uncultured bacterium
Lineage: Bacteria
Description: bacterial SSU rRNA
Rfam family: Bacterial small subunit ribosomal RNA
Source: RNAcentral
GACGAACGCUGGCGGCGUGCUUAACACAUGCAAGUCGAACGAUGAAGCCUUCGGGUGGAUUAGUGGCGAACGGGUGAGUAACACGUGGGCAAUCUGCCCUGUACUUUGGGAUAAGCCUUGGAAACGGGGUCUAAUACCGGAUAUCACUUCUGACCGCAUGGUUGGUUGUUGAAAGUUCUGGCGGUACAGGAUGAGCCCGCGGCCUAUCAGCUUGUUGGUGGGGUAAUGGCCUACCAAGGCGACGACGGGUAGCCGGCCUGAGAGGGUGACCGGCCACACUGGGACUGAGACACGGCCCAGACUCCUACGGGAGGCAGCAGUGGGGAAUAUUGCACAAUGGGCGAAAGCCUGAUGCAGCGACGCCGCGUGAGGGAUGACGGCC